AAUCUCAUUAGGCCCCAUAACAUAGCUAUUGGGUUGCCAAAACGCAAAUAAACCCCUCCACUUUCACUUUAAUACACUGCCCGAACUGGGCAGUUCGCGCAGGCGGGGACCGGUCUCUCCUUCAGGGACCGGUUCCCGAACGUCGUCCCAGCGCAGCCAGAGCUGCUGCGCGCAGUGCAACCGGUCUCUCCUUGGGGGACCGGUCUCUCGGGGACCGGUCUCUCAGUCAGGGACCGGUUCCCGAGAGCUAACUUCUCAGGACUUAGCCGAUUUUUCGGCUGUCUCAUUUCAUACGCGUUCGGGGACCGGUCUCUCCCACCAGGGACCGGUCCCCGAGAGCUCAAAAUCUGUAGUUUUGCAGAAUUUGAUUCUAUAGCUCUCGAAAACCUCCCGCAACUCGCUUUUAACCAUUUUAAUACCUUCGGACUUUCCGAAGUGUACUGUCCUCGCACUUUGGUCAAUUUGACUAAAGUUCGACAUUUAUUUUCCGAAUUUUCAGUAUAUUACAGCCGAGUUCCGUCGAAACGAGCGGAGCGCGGAGUGGAAUGAGUGGGUAUAGGCCCUAAGUGCAUUCGAGCCUAUAUAUGGUGCAAAGGGACCCGAGAGAGUGAAAUUCCAAAAUCUGGCUAAGUCCCAGAUUUUGUGCUCUCGGGGACCGGUCCCUGAAGGAGAGACCGGUCCCCGUGCGCGUAGCCUGCCAGGAAUCCUGAGGCAACCGGUCCCUGGCAGUGAGACCGGUCCUCGGGAGACCGGUCCCUGAAGGAAAGACCGGUCCCUCGCUGCGCAGCCAGCCAAAAACCUGAAAAUUUGGCUAAGUCCUGGAAACCCAACGUUCGGGAACCGGUCCCUAGUCGGGGAGACCGGUCCCCGA
Molecule: long non-coding RNA, 871 nt
Filed under: Ananas comosus (pineapple)
Lineage: Eukaryota; Viridiplantae; Streptophyta; Magnoliopsida; Poales; Bromeliaceae
Description: long non-coding RNA (ACOM_LNC000526)
Source: RNAcentral